GCCGUCGUCGUUGAAGCGGGACGCCACGGUGCCGUACACCGGCAUGUCGUCGGGGGCGGUGCCGAAGGCCUCCCGGUUGCGCACCAGCUGGCGGCGC
Molecule: transfer RNA, 97 nt
Filed under: Sphaerisporangium rufum
Lineage: Bacteria; Bacillati; Actinomycetota; Actinomycetes; Streptosporangiales; Streptosporangiaceae
Description: tRNA-Cys
Source: RNAcentral